Molecule: ribosomal RNA, 1310 nt
Filed under: Staphylococcus aureus
Lineage: Bacteria; Bacillati; Bacillota; Bacilli; Caryophanales; Staphylococcaceae
Description: bacterial SSU rRNA
Rfam family: Bacterial small subunit ribosomal RNA
Source: RNAcentral
GCGCUGCAUUAGCUAGUUGGUAAGGUAACGGCUUACCAAGGCAACGAUGCAUAGCCGACCUGAGAGGGUGAUCGGCCACACUGGAACUGAGACACGGUCCAGACUCCUACGGGAGGCAGCAGUAGGGAAUCUUCCGCAAUGGGCGAAAGCCUGACGGAGCAACGCCGCGUGAGUGAUGAAGGUCUUCGGAUCGUAAAACUCUGUUAUUAGGGAAGAACAUAUGUGUAAGUAACUGUGCACAUCUUGACGGUACCUAAUCAGAAAGCCACGGCUAACUACGUGCCAGCAGCCGCGGUAAUACGUAGGUGGCAAGCGUUAUCCGGAAUUAUUGGGCGUAAAGCGCGCGUAGGCGGUUUUUUAAGUCUGAUGUGAAAGCCCACGGCUCAACCGUGGAGGGUCAUUGGAAACUGGAAAACUUGAGUGCAGAAGAGGAAAGUGGAAUUCCAUGUGUAGCGGUGAAAUGCGCAGAGAUAUGGAGGAACACCAGUGGCGAAGGCGACUUUCUGGUCUGUAACUGACGCUGAUGUGCGAAAGCGUGGGGAUCAAACAGGAUUAGAUACCCUGGUAGUCCACGCCGUAAACGAUGAGUGCUAAGUGUUAGGGGGUUUCCGCCCCUUAGUGCUGCAGCUAACGCAUUAAGCACUCCGCCUGGGGAGUACGACCGCAAGGUUGAAACUCAAAGGAAUUGACGGGGACCCGCACAAGCGGUGGAGCAUGUGGUUUAAUUCGAAGCAACGCGAAGAACCUUACCAAAUCUUGACAUCCUUUGACAACUCUAGAGAUAGAGCUUUCCCCUUCGGGGGACAAAGUGACAGGUGGUGCAUGGUUGUCGUCAGCUCGUGUCGUGAGAUGUUGGGUUAAGUCCCGCAACGAGCGCAACCCUUAAGCUUAGUUGCCAUCAUUAAGUUGGGCACUCUAAGUUGACUGCCGGUGACAAACCGGAGGAAGGUGGGGAUGACGUCAAAUCAUCAUGCCCCUUAUGAUUUGGGCUACACACGUGCUACAAUGGACAAUACAAAGGGCAGCGAAACCGCGAGGUCAAGCAAAUCCCAUAAAGUUGUUCUCAGUUCGGAUUGUAGUCUGCAACUCGACUACAUGAAGCUGGAAUCGCUAGUAAUCGUAGAUCAGCAUGCUACGGUGAAUACGUUCCCGGGUCUUGUACACACCGCCCGUCACACCACGAGAGUUUGUAACACCCGAAGCCGGUGGAGUAACCUUUUAGGAGCUAGCCGUCGAAGGUGGGACAAAUGAUUGGGGUGAAGUCGUAACAAGGUAGCCGUAUCGGAAGGUGCGGCUGGAUCACCUCCUUU